AACGAACGCUGGCGGCAGGCCUAACACAUGCAAGUCGAACGCCCCGCAAGGGGAGUGGCAGACGGGUGAGUAGCGCGUGGGAACCUUCCCAAAGGUGCGGAAUAGCUCAGGGAAACUUGGGGUAAUACCGCAUAAUGCCGAAAGGCCAAAGAUUUAUCGCCUUUGGAUGGGCCCGCGUCGGAUUAGCUAGUUGGUGAGGUAACGGCUCACAAAGGCGACGAUCCGUAGCUGGUUUGAGAGAAUGACCAGCCACACUGGGACUGAGACACGGCCCAGACUCCUACGGGAGGCAGCAGUGGGGAAUCUUGGACAAUGGGCGCAAGCUUGAUCCAGCCAUGCCGCGUGAGUGACGAAGGCCUUAGGGUUGUAAAGCUCUUUUGCCGGGGACGAUAAUGACGGUACCCGGAGAAUAAGUCCCGGCUAACUUCGUGCCAGCCGCCGCGGUAA
This 447-nucleotide ribosomal RNA is filed under the name uncultured bacterium. RNAcentral's name for it is "partial 16S ribosomal RNA". It matches the Rfam family "Bacterial small subunit ribosomal RNA", at positions 29 to 523 of the family's 1533-position model. The record is from RNAcentral.